GAAAAUUAAAGUGUAGACAUUUAUUCGCAGAUAGAGAAAGUAGUAAUGAAUUAGUACUACCUAUGUCUCCAAAAAAUAGUCAUACUUAAUUUCAUUUUAAUCUCUAUCAAUUUACAGUAAAAUUCAAUUUCACUCUUAUUUUAUCAAUUUUGCAUUAAGAUUCAAGAUGUUCAAUCAAAAUUACUUUUGGUGGACGGAGGUAAUAUUAGGUCCAGAAGUCUCCACAAAUUUGUAAAAAAAUUUAUUUCUGAGAUAGCAAAAUUUGGUAUCAAUGUAAUCAUGACUUAAAUGAAGAAAGAGGUUUUCAUAUAUGUAUUACUGCAAUAUUCAUAUACUCCAGAAAAUAAAUAGGCACUCAAAAUAAGUAAAUGCUCGAGCAUCAUUAAUCAACUCACCAUUUCGCGGGGCUAGUAGGACUUGGGUCUCUUUCUUAGGCGGAGAAUCAAGUACAUGUAUCUUUACCGAGUAACUAAUUUCUCUUUCAUAUUUUGGUAAAAUCAACUCUUUUAAUCUCUUCCAACUUUAAUAUCUUUUUCCACCUUUGUUUUCAAUUAUCCACUUUUUUCUCUCUACUACUUACAUAAAAUUGCAAAAAAAAGGUCAAUUCAUCAGUUUGCAUAACGUGGUACAAAAAGAGAAAAAUGAAAACUAUUGUAAAUAGAGACAAUUCUGUAUUCAUAUAAAAUUAGCAUAAAUUUGGCAUGACAAUUGACAACUCUUCAACCACAAACUAACCAAAUUUAUUUAUAAAAUUAAAACACAGCACACAAACAACUAAUUACUAAUCCGAGUAUAAUGAUAUAUAGAGAGAGAGAGAAAUUAUUUUGAAGCAUGCAUAGAGAUAUAUAGUGAAGUGAAAUCAAUAGUAAAACUUGAAUCCCAUAUUAGUCUCGGCAAAAUCCAAGAGCAAAUCGAUCUCUUGCUCAUCAAUAAAGCCGCUGCCGUCGACGUCGGCUUCACCGAGGCCUCGGGUGCUUUUCCAGCCGCUGAACCAGCCACCGCAGUUGCGGAUGGCCUGCCGGAGCUCCUUUUGGCUGAUCCGCCCGUCUCGGUCCGCGUCGAAUUUCAUCAGCCAGCCCUUGAACUCCUCCACCGUCAUCUGGUACUUGCCGCCGCUAGGCACGCUCCGAGCGGUGUCGCCGCCUGUUAUCGCCAUCGGAAAAUAGGAUGUGAGUAAAUAUGGUAACAAUAUUGGUUAGUUGAUGAAUAUGAAUAAUGAAUAUGAUACGAAGCAAAUAAAUAGGUGAUGAAAAGAUUGAAAAUAUGCAAAAAUAAAGUGUCACGGAAUCCAAAUCUAAUGCUUUAUUUCUUCUAUUUUAAGUUGGGGUUGGGCCAUGUGGAAUUUAUACUUUGGACUCACAAUCACUAAUUUUUUUAACACCUAAAAUGGCAUCUUCACUAUCAUCAUAUAAUCAUCUUUAUUUUUUGGCACUCGAUUAUUCUUCACUACUAUUUUCUAAUAAGUAUUUAAUAAUGUAUGCAGAGGGUUAUAAUCAAUGUCGAACUAAUCUCUAGUGGCGAACUGUUGAAUCCAUUGUUAGUUUAUUUUAGGUCAUUGUAGAACACUUUUAGUCUGUUUUAGGUCAUUUUAUAAAAUCCAGAUUUGAUAAUACGGAUGUCAUUUUAGAUCAUUUUAGGUCAUGCUUACUAUAAUGACCUAAAAACAAACUAAGAUUUGAUCAUUGUACUCUCUAAAAUGACCGUCAAGUGUGGUUCUUUGAUUCUGCCAUAAGAUUGAGUUUUGCAUAUAUCAUAGUUGAUUUAACCUACCUAAAAUUGAUUUAUACUGAGAGUUAAAUUGGUGAAUUGUCUUUUCAGUUUGAAGGGUAAACAGUUAGCUUUGUAAGUGAUUUAUCUGAUAAUUAAUUGUUUAAUCACUUAAAUUAAUACUCCGUAGUAUUCUAAAAUCUAAAACAUAAUAAGAAAAUAGUUCGAAUAAGGAAAUUUUUGGACUGGCGUCCCAACCUUUCACGAUUGGUAGCUAAUACCUUGUGAAGUUCAUUUUUCUUCUGCAAGAAUUGACUAAGUUACCUAUACAUGCCACUUACAACUAGUCUACUAUGCAUCAGACUUAAACUUGUUUGUUACUUAUGUGUUUAAAUGUAAAUCAAACAUCUUAUAAAUGCAUAAAUAAAAUACACUAACAAAAUAUUCCUUCUCUUUGAAAUGGUAAAAAUGGAUAAAGAGUUUUUAAAUAUACAAACAUUCGAAAGAUGCUAUAUACUACUCCCUCCGUUCCCAAAAAUGGACUACUUUUAUCAUUUUGAGUCGUCCCCUAAUUAGACCAAGUCUAAAUAUAUAAAGUUUUCAAUAGAUAAUAAUCUUAUACAUCAUUUAUAAUAUAAACCCACAGUUCACGAACACUCAUUUCACUACCUUUUCCCUCUCUCUCCCUCCUACUUUUUUUUACAUCUCUUUCUUAGGACUGGAUUGCAUGCAGCUACAUUUCCAGCGAGUUGCUAUGGAGUAUAGCGGCUUCCUAGCGAUUCACUAGGACAAAUCCUUUCAAAAAGGAGAGGACGAAGUGCUCUGGGAAGCGCCAAAGUGAGAGAAAGAGAAGUGAGGGCAUGCAAUGAGCCAAACUAGACUGUUUCAAACAUCAGUCUACCUAUUAAGUUGAAGUGCAAAUAAUCUUCUAAGAUGACCAUUGUCUUCAUCGUCGAAAGAGUUCCGUGUCAGUACCUUGCGCGCCUCAAUUGGAGCCCUGGUAAGGAAGUUAUGGUCAUUCUACGAAAGUUGCGCAGUCAAGUAACGAAGACUCUAGAGAGUUUGCGUGGGCCGACGUUUUGAUGCAUGAAAACGCCCAACCGGGCUUUUUGUGUCCUGGAAGACUAAAAAAAGCAAGAUUUUGAAUUAUUCUGAGCGCCUUUUCAUAUUCCAACCCUAGCUUGAGUGACCUUUCAUCUCCCACCAUCCACGUUCAUAAAUAGUGUCUUUUAUAUCAUUUGUAAUAGAUAGAUUGGGUUUAUAUAAAGAGUGUCUUCUUGAGAGAA
Long non-coding RNA from Salvia splendens (bonfire salvia), 2993 nucleotides. RefSeq lists it as uncharacterized. NCBI's taxonomy places the organism in Eukaryota, Viridiplantae, Streptophyta, Magnoliopsida, Lamiales, Lamiaceae. The record is from RefSeq and is a predicted model, not a curated record. The transcript has 2 exons.